GAAACCAGUUACGGAAAAAAAAUUAUCGCUUCUUUCCCCAAAUUUUAGCCCUCCGGCUAUUCGUUAUCUGAUAUAUACAUAAUAUACCACAACAUCGUCUCUUGCCCGAUGGCUAAGAACUCAUCCGAUUGCCAGACAGUUUCCACAGAUUCGUCAAUCAGGCGCAGACACUCUUCCUGGAUGCUCGUUGCUGUCAGUAUAUAGUGACGAGCCUAAAGCACAGAAGACAAGAAUAUUAUGUUUAAGUGAACUACAGCACGAUGAACCUGAACAGUAACACAACCUUGUCCAGAAUAUCCAGGCAGUUAUUAAUGCUGAGAUUAUCCAAGACGAAACGGACGCACUUGGCGACCAGCAAUGACCAUAUGGAAGUCACCUUGCCGCUCCAUGUACGCUGCCUCGUGACGGUGACCUAGUCUAUCGACAACCAGGAUCUCUGGACAACUACUCAGGAUGUCCGAAGCCCG
Molecule: long non-coding RNA, 467 nt
Organism: Paramacrobiotus metropolitanus
Lineage: Eukaryota; Metazoa; Tardigrada; Eutardigrada; Parachela; Macrobiotidae
Exons: 3
Source: RefSeq, a predicted model, not a curated record